Molecule: ribosomal RNA, 274 nt
Filed under: Nitrospira sp. Ga9-4
Lineage: Bacteria; Pseudomonadati; Nitrospirota; Nitrospiria; Nitrospirales; Nitrospiraceae
Description: partial 16S ribosomal RNA
Rfam family: Bacterial small subunit ribosomal RNA
Source: RNAcentral
CCUACGGGAGGCAGCAGUAAGGAAUAUUGCGCAAUGGGCGAAAGCCUGACGCAGCGACGCCGCGUGGGGGAUGAAGGUCUUCGGAUUGUAAACCCCUUUCGGGAGGGAAGAUGGAACGGGCAACCGUUCGGACGGUACCUCCAGAAGCAGCCACGGCUAACUUCGUGCCAGCAGCCGCGGUAAUACGAAGGUGGCAAGCGUUGUUCGGAUUUACUGGGCGUACAGGGAGCGUAGGCGGUUUGGUAAGCCCCUCGGGAAAGCUUCGGGCUUAACC